AGAACGAACGCUGGCGGCAGGCUUAACACAUGCAAGUCGAACGCUCCGCAAGGAGAGUGGCAGACGGGUGAGUAACGCGUGGGAAUCUACCUAGUUCUACGGAACAACAGAGGGAAACUUCUGCUAAUACCGUAUACGCCCUAAGGGGGAAAGAUUUAUCGGAAUUAGAUGAGCCCGCGUAAGAUUAGCUAGUUGGUGGGGUAAUGGCCUACCAAGGCGACGAUCUUUAGCUGGUCUGAGAGGAUGAUCAGCCACACUGGGACUGAGACACGGCCCAGACUCCUACGGGAGCAGCAGUGGGGAAUAUUGGACAAGUGGGCGCAAGCCCUGACUCCAGCCAUCGCCGCGUGAGUGAUGAAGGUCCGUUAGGGUUGUAAAGCUUCGUUUCAGGUGGGAAG
RNAcentral lists this ribosomal RNA (398 nucleotides) under uncultured soil bacterium. RNAcentral describes it as "bacterial SSU rRNA". It matches the Rfam family "Bacterial small subunit ribosomal RNA", at positions 26 to 449 of the family's 1533-position model. The record is from RNAcentral.